GGCUCGGUGGCAAAGCGGUUGGUGCAUCUGCAAUUCGUGAUGAUAAAAUCAUGUUCUGCAGAAGACGCCUGUUCGACUCGGGCCCGGGCCA
This is a non-coding RNA of Mycena alexandri, 91 nucleotides long. NCBI's taxonomy places the organism in Eukaryota, Fungi, Basidiomycota, Agaricomycetes, Agaricales, Mycenaceae. The record is from the annotation of a GenBank genome assembly.